Molecule: transfer RNA, 67 nt
Filed under: Marmota monax (woodchuck)
Lineage: Eukaryota; Metazoa; Chordata; Mammalia; Rodentia; Sciuridae
Description: tRNA.Ser
Source: RNAcentral
GGUUGUGGCUCAGUGGUAUAGCGCUCUCCUAGAAUGCCUGAGGCACUGGGUUUGAAUCUCAGCACCA